This 471-nucleotide non-coding RNA is filed under the name Drosophila ananassae. RNAcentral describes it as "Eukaryotic large subunit ribosomal RNA". It matches the Rfam family "Eukaryotic large subunit ribosomal RNA", at positions 1 to 454 of the family's 3401-position model. Lineage: Eukaryota; Metazoa; Arthropoda; Insecta; Diptera; Drosophilidae. The record is from Rfam by way of RNAcentral.
CAACCUCAACUCAUAUGGGACUACCCCCUGAAUUUAAGCAUAUUAAUUAGGGGAGGAAAAGAAACUAACAAGGAUUUUCUUAGUAGCGGCGAGCGAAAAGAAAUCAGUUCAGCACUAAGUCACUUUGUCUAUAUGGCAAAUGUGAGAUGCAGUGUAUGGAGCGUCAAUAUUCUAGUAUGAGAAAUUAACGAUUUAAGUCCUUCUUAAAUGAGGCCAUUUACCCAUAGAGGGUGCCAGGCCCGUAUAACGUUAAUGAUUACUAGAUGAUGUUUCCAAAGAGUCGUGUUGCUUGAUAGUGCAGCACUAAGUGGGUGGUAAACUCCAUCUAAAACUAAAUAUAACCAUGAGACCGAUAGUAAACAAGUACCGUGAGGGAAAGUUGAAAAGAACUCUGAAUAGAGAGUUAAAUAGUACGUGAAACUGCUUAGAGGUUAAGCCCGAUGAACCUGAAUAUCCGUUAUGGAAAAUUCA